This is a long non-coding RNA of Gasterosteus aculeatus aculeatus (three-spined stickleback), 2767 nucleotides long. The record is from Ensembl. Lineage: Eukaryota; Metazoa; Chordata; Actinopteri; Perciformes; Gasterosteidae.
UGGCACUGCAUACUUAUGCAGAUGGCGCCGUUGAUGGCUGCCACGGUGCUUCGGUGCGCUUCGUUUUUUGUUGUUUCUGCUGCGAUUCCCAGAGCUCUUUCACCAGAGAUGAGCUCUUGAACAGGCGCUGUAGGCGAGGAAAACGGGCCGGCUCGCUGGUGAGACUCCGCAAGCGUGGUUCUCGCACUCCGCUGCCAGGCGUCUUUCUCUCCAACGUGCGCUCACUGUACAACAAACUGGACGAAAUUCAGCUGCUGGUGAGGAGAGAGAGUUUUCUACAUCCUCCGUUUUGUGCUUCACGGAGACGUGGCUCUGCGGAUCGAUACCGACUUGUGCGCUCCAGCUGGUGGGCUUCCAGCUGCUCCGAGCGGACCGUGAAACGGAGCUCUCCGGCAAGACAAAGGGUGGAGGAAUCUGCUUCUACUUCAACAACAGCUGGUGCAACAACGUAACGGUGAUCCUACAACACUGUUCUCCUGAUCUGGAAACCAUUGUAUUCCCCCCGUGAGUUCGCUUCAUUCAUCCUGGUCGGUGUUUACAUGCCGCCGCCGGGCAACGUGCACGAGGCACAGCGGACACUCGCCGACCAGAUACGGCGUGUGGAGCGGACCAACCCGGACUCUUUAGUUAUUGUCCUCGGGGACUUUAACAAAGGUAAUCUCACCCAUGAACUUCCUAAAUACAGACAGUUUAUUAAAUGCCCCACCAGAGAGGAGAACACGCUGGAUCACUGUUACACCACAGUAAGCAGGGGUUAUCACGCCGUCCCUCGUGCUGCACUGGGACACUCUGACCACGUCAUGGUCCAUCUGAUUCCUGCAUACAGGCAGAAACUAAAGCUCUGCAAACCUGUGGUGAGGGAAUUUAAGAAGUGGACCAGUGAGGCGCUGAAGGAUCUUCGGGCGUGCUUUGACUGCACAGACUGGGAUGUUUUCAGGACGGCUACUGACAGUCUGGAUGAGUUCACAGAGGCUGUAACUUCCUACAUCGGCUUCUGUGAGGACAGCUGUGUACCAUCAUGCACCAGGGUGAGUUACAACAACGACAAACCCUGGUUCACAGCGGAACUCAGAACACUAGGCGUGCAGAAGGAUCAGGCAUUUGGGAGUGGGGACAAAGACUUGUACACAGAGUCAAAAUACAAGUUUAGCAAGGCGGUGAGAGAUGCUAAACGACUGUACUCUGAGAAACUCCAACAACAGUUCUCAGCAAGUGACUCUGCUUCGGUUUGGAGAGGCCUCAAACACCUCACAAACUACAAGCCAAAAACCCCCCACUCCAUGAAUGACCUCCGCCUGGCAGACGAACUGAAUGAGUUCUACUGCAGAUUCGAAAGACAAUGUCCUGAUCCCAUCCUCCACAGCUCCACCAACCUGCUGCAGUCCCCCAACCCUCCCUCCCCCAGCCGAUCAGGUGCUCACGCCUCUUCAUCUAUCAGCAUGGUUACAUGGAUUCGAAUAACUGGCUUAGUCGGACUGAAAUUGAAUAAUCCAUUCAUGUAAACACCUUUGUCCGACUAUGUGCGAUCCGAUUAACACCCCUGGAUAACUCGAUCCGAUCCAGUUGAUAGUUCGACUAUCGCGGGAUGUAACGGUGAAUCGGAUAAGGAACUGGACUUUGCGUCUCCCAGAUCGUGACCCGGAAGUCGAAAGAGACUGCUGGGAGCCUGGCCGGCAGAAAACAAACAAACAACGCUAUGGACAACACAAGAGUCCCUAGUAGAGCACAACGGCGUAGAUUCGGGUGUUCGGUUGCCAACUACAAUGGGUAAGUUAAUUUCAGUUGCAUCACACUAAAACAAGUGCUAGAUACCAGAUGUUAGCUGAUGCUGUGAGAUGUCUUAGCAGUGCUAAUAUGUGUUGAAACAUGUGUACCUUCCCAUGACUUGCGAGGAAUUAAAUCGACGAUGAAAACAAUGUACAAUCAUAAAACGUAAGGCUAACCUGGGUCCCACUUGAUAACCGUAACUUUCGAAGCUAACAUGGGUGCCACUUGCUAGCUAGCCCUUAGUCUUUGAGAAACGUGUAGACCUUCCCACUAACUUGCAAGGAAUUCAAUUUAGAAUGAAAGCUAGUUACAAAUGUAAUAAAGUUUACAUUAACUGUACUUUCUAUAUUUGUUUUGGCACUAUAGUUGAGUUUUUAUGUUUCUUUGUCUAUUUUUAUGUGAAUGUAAUUUCUUCGUGCACGUUAUUACGCACGUAUUUGCUGUAAAGCACUUUGAGCUGCAUUCUUUUGCAUGAAAGGUGCUAUAUAAAUAACGUUUUAUUAUUAUUUGUGCUGUACCAUCUUAUAGAUACUACAAUGGACCCGGAAGAGACGCUGCUCGGAGGCUCAUCUGGAACCUCCUCACCUAGGUCAACUCCACCACCUUCUACUCCACUGCGUGCUACAAUUACCGAUGAUCUACCUGGAACAAGGACCCAGCAAACAAGGCGAAUGAGAGACGUCGAUGUGCUGGUGAACCAGAUGCAAGUCAUGACUCAUCAAUGGACGGAGGACAUGGCAAGAAGUGAGGCCCGGGAGGAACGGUUGAUCGCCAGCAUCCUCCGCACUGACAGUAUGGUUGAGAAGCUGAUGCAGAGAAUGGAUAACAUUCAACCUCAACCAAACACAUUCUCACCACCACCACAACAUCAACCACCGCAAGAUGCGUAUUAUGGUUAUGGAUGCCUUACUUAUUUGCACUACCGCCUGAAAAGCAUCGUACCGUUCAUACAGCACAAUUUCUACACUCUACCUCAGUGUGUGUGUGUGUGUGUGUGUGU